AAACGUAGGGGGCAAGCGUUGUCCGGAAUUACUGGGCGUAAAGGGCGUGUAGGCGGCCCUGCAAGUCAGACGUGAAACCUAUCGGCUCAACUGAUAGCUUGCGAUUGAAACUGCAGAGCUUGAGUGCAGAAGAGGGGAGUGGAAUUCCCAGUGUAGCGGUGAAAUGCGUAGAUAUUGGGAGGAACACCGGUGGCGAAAGCGGCUCCCUGGCCUGUAACUGACGCUGAGGCGCGAAAGCGUGGGUAGCAAACAGGAUUAGAUACCCUGGUAGUCCACGCCGUAAACGAUGGGUGCUAGGUGUUGGGGGUAUCGACCCCCCCAGUGCCGCAGUUAACGCACUAAGCACCCCGCCUGGGGAGUACGGCCGCAAGGCUGAA
RNAcentral lists this ribosomal RNA (377 nucleotides) under uncultured bacterium. Its description in RNAcentral is "bacterial SSU rRNA". It matches the Rfam family "Bacterial small subunit ribosomal RNA", at positions 523 to 898 of the family's 1533-position model. The record is from RNAcentral.